ACACUGCUGAGGAGUCCCAUAAUAGGACGAUUUGGCCGUCCAGUGU
Schistosoma rodhaini is the source of this 46-nucleotide non-coding RNA. The record is from Rfam. NCBI's taxonomy places the organism in Eukaryota, Metazoa, Platyhelminthes, Trematoda, Strigeidida, Schistosomatidae.